This 327-nucleotide ribosomal RNA is filed under the name uncultured eukaryote. RNAcentral's name for it is "partial 18S ribosomal RNA". It matches the Rfam family "Eukaryotic small subunit ribosomal RNA", at positions 1470 to 1796 of the family's 1831-position model. The record is from RNAcentral.
CCCUUAGAUGUUCUGGGCCGCACGCGCGCUACACUGACGAAUGCAACGAGCUUAUAACCUUGGACGAAAGGUCUGGGUAAUCUCCAAAUUUCGUCGUGAUGGGGAUAGAUUAUUGCAAUUAUUAAUCUUCAACGAGGAAUGCCUAGUAAGCGCAAGUCAUCAGCUUGCGUUGAUUACGUCCCUGCCCUUUGUACACACCGCCCGUCGCUCCUACCGAUUGAAUGGUCCGGUGAAGCGUUCGGACCGUGGCCUUUGGACGGUUCGCCGUCUGUUGGCUGCGGGAAGUUCGUUAAACCUUAUCAUUUAGAGGAAGGAGAANUCGUANCA